CACCUCUCAGGAUCACAUCUGGAGAAUUUCCAGUAUUCUAUCAGUCUCAUUUACAGGAGGGAGAGCCAAGCAGAGGUAUACUCAUUCCAUUCCUAGCUUGCGCAGUGGCUAGUGAAUGGAAAGCAAACUGCUACAAGU
Non-coding RNA from Ornithorhynchus anatinus (platypus), 138 nucleotides. NCBI's taxonomy places the organism in Eukaryota, Metazoa, Chordata, Mammalia, Monotremata, Ornithorhynchidae. The record is from Rfam.